CAACACAGUAACUUUAUGCUUUUAUUGUGAAAAGAGACAGAACUCCAAAUUAAACAUGACACAAGUCAACGGCAUUUCUACAAUUUGAUGAUCACAGCUUCCAUCUUUAAAGAACUGGAAGUCGUAAAAAGUUAAAGAUU
Sander lucioperca (pikeperch) is the source of this 140-nucleotide long non-coding RNA. RefSeq lists it as uncharacterized. NCBI's taxonomy places the organism in Eukaryota, Metazoa, Chordata, Actinopteri, Perciformes, Percidae. The record is from RefSeq and is a predicted model, not a curated record. The transcript has 4 exons.